Molecule: ribosomal RNA, 1372 nt
Filed under: uncultured bacterium
Lineage: Bacteria
Description: bacterial SSU rRNA
Rfam family: Bacterial small subunit ribosomal RNA
Source: RNAcentral
GAUGAACGCUGGCGGCGUGCCUAAUACAUGCAAGUCGAGCGAACGGACGAGAAGCUUGCUUCUCUGAUGUUAGCGGCGGACGGGUGAGUAACACGUGGAUAACCUACCUAUAAGACUGGGAUAACUUCGGGAAACCGGAGCUAAUACCGGAUAAUAUUUUGAACCGCAUGGUUCAAAAGUGAAAGACGGUCUUGCUGUCACUUAUAGAUGGAUCCGCGCUGCAUUAGCUAGUUGGUAAGGUAACGGCUUACCAAGGCAACGAUGCAUAGCCGACCUGAGAGGGUGAUCGGCCACACUGGAACUGAGACACGGUCCAGACUCCUACGGGAGGCAGCAGUAGGGAAUCUUCCGCAAUGGGCGAAAGCCUGACGGAGCAACGCCGCGUGAGUGAUGAGGGUCUUCGGAUCGUAAAACUCUGUUAUUAGGGAAGAACAUAUGUGUAAGUAACUGUGCACAUCUUGACGGUACCUAAUCAGAAAGCCACGGCUAACUACGUGCCAGCAGCCGCGGUAAUACGUAGGUGGCAAGCGUUAUCCGGAAUUAUUGGGCGUAAAGCGCGCGUAGGCGGUUUUUUAAGUCUGAUGUGAAAGCCCACGGCUCAACCGUGGAGGGUCAUUGGAAACUGGAAAACUUGAGUGCAGAAGAGGAAAGUGGAAUUCCAUGUGUAGCGGUGAAAUGCGCAGAGAUAUGGAGGAACACCAGUGGCGAAGGCGACUUUCUGGUCUGUAACUGACGCUGAUGUGCGAAAGCGUGGGGAUCAAACAGGAUUAGAUACCCUGGUAGUCCACGCCGUAAACGAUGAGUGCUAAGUGUUAGGGGGUUUCCGCCCCUUAGUGCUGCAGCUAACGCAUUAAGCACUCCGCCUGGGGAGUACGACCGCAAGGUUGAAACUCAAAGGAAUUGACGGGGACCCGCACAAGCGGUGGAGCAUGUGGUUUAAUUCGAAGCAACGCGAAGAACCUUACCAAAUCUUGACAUCCUUUGACAACUCUAGAGAUAGAGCUUUCCCCUUCGGGGGACAAAGUGACAGGUGGUGCAUGGUUGUCGUCAGCUCGUGUCGUGAGAUGUUGGGUUAAGUCCCGCAACGAGCGCAACCCUUAAGCUUAGUUGCCAUCAUUAAGUUGGGCACUCUAAGUUGACUGCCGGUGACAAACCGGAGGAAGGUGGGGAUGACGUCAAAUCAUCAUGCCCCUUAUGAUUUGGGCUACACACGUGCUACAAUGGACAAUACAAAGGGCAGCGAAACCGCGAGGUCAAGCAAAUCCCAUAAAGUUGUUCUCAGUUCGGAUUGUAGUCUGCAACUCGACUACAUGAAGCUGGAAUCGCUAGUAAUCGUAGAUCAGCAUGCUACGGUGAAUACGUUCCCGGGUCU